This 502-nucleotide ribosomal RNA is filed under the name uncultured bacterium. Its description in RNAcentral is "partial 16S ribosomal RNA". It matches the Rfam family "Bacterial small subunit ribosomal RNA", at positions 29 to 523 of the family's 1533-position model. The record is from RNAcentral.
AUUGAACGCUGGCGGCAUGCUUUACACAUGCAAGUCGAACGGCAGCGGGGGUGCUUGCACCUGCCGGCGAGUGGCGAACGGGUGAGUAAUGCAUCGGAACGUGCCCAGUAAUGGGGGAUAACACAUCGAAAGAUGUGCUAAUACCGCAUACGCCCUGAGGGGGAAAGCGGGGGAUCGUAAGACCUCGCGUUAUUGGAGCGGCCGAUGUCGGAUUAGCUAGUUGGUGGGGUAAAGGCCUACCAAGGCGACGAUCCGUAGCUGGUCUGAGAGGACGACCAGCCACACUGGGACUGAGACACGGCCCAGACUCCUACGGGAGGCAGCAGUGGGGAAUUUUGGACAAUGGGCGAAAGCCUGAUCCAGCCAUGCCGCGUGAGUGAAGAAGGCCUUCGGGUUGUAAAGCUCUUUCAGACGGAAAGAAAUCUCCUGGGUGAAUAUCCCGGGAGGAUGACGGUACCGUAAGAAGAAGCACCGGCUAACUACGUGCCAGCCGCCGCCGUAA